RNAcentral lists this ribosomal RNA (261 nucleotides) under uncultured archaeon. Its description in RNAcentral is "partial 16S ribosomal RNA". It matches the Rfam family "Archaeal small subunit ribosomal RNA", at positions 719 to 982 of the family's 1478-position model. The record is from RNAcentral.
ACGUCUACAUUAGAUACCCGGGUAGUCCAGGGUGUAAACGCUGCAGACUUGGUGUUGGAAGCCCUUUGGGGGCAUUCAGUGCCGGAGAGAAGUUGUUAAGUCUGCUACUUGGGAGUACGUCCGCAAGGAUGAAACUUAAAGGAAUUGGCGGGGGAGCACCGCAACGGGAGGAGCGUGCGGUUUAAUUGGAUUCAACACCGUAAACUCACCAGGGAAGACUGUUACAUGAAAGCCGAGAUGAAGACUCUGCUAGAUUUUCAG